GUAGGUGGCAAGCGUUGUCCGGAAUUAUUGGGCGUAAAGCGCGCGCAGGCGGUUCUUUAAGUCUGAUGUGAAAGCCCACGGCUCAACCGUGGAGGGUCAUUGGAAACUGGAGAACUUGAGUACAGAAGAGGAAAGCGGAAUUCCACGUGUAGCGGUGAAAUGCGUAGAGAUGUGGAGGAACACCAGUGGCGAAGGCGGCUUUCUGGUCUGUAACUGACGCUGAGGCGCGAAAGCGUGAGGAGCAAACAGGAUUAGAUACCCUGGUAGUCCACGCCGUAAACGAUGAGUGCUAAGUGUUAGGGGGUUUCCGCCCCUUAGUGCUGCAGCUAACGCAUUAAGCACUCCGCCCUGGGAGUACGGCCGCAAGGCUG
Molecule: ribosomal RNA, 371 nt
Filed under: uncultured organism
Description: partial 16S ribosomal RNA
Rfam family: Bacterial small subunit ribosomal RNA
Source: RNAcentral